Molecule: ribosomal RNA, 707 nt
Filed under: Neveritis aridorum
Lineage: Eukaryota; Metazoa; Mollusca; Gastropoda; Stylommatophora; Camaenidae
Description: partial large subunit ribosomal RNA
Rfam family: Archaeal large subunit ribosomal RNA (bases 311-465)
Source: RNAcentral
UAAUAAUUAAGUAUGUGGCAUAAUAGUGUAAAAUUCUGCUUAGGGGUGAUAGGCUUUACAAAAAUAGCGAUAUCUCGAUUUUUUUAAAGAAGUAUUUAGUACAGUGACAAUCUAGUAGCGCUUAGGUUAUUAGUGUAUGUAAUUAAAUAUUAAUAUAAUAAAGUUGGUGUAAUUGUUUACUAAUUUAAUAAUUGAAUAUAAAUAUAUUAGAAUAUGCAAAAGUUUUAAAAAAGUGAUGUAACAUAUUUUCGUUAUUUAUAAUGUUAGUAUUAGUAUUUAAUAAUUAUUGUGUAUGAACUCGGCAAUAAAACUCUCGACUGUUUAUCAAAAACAUAGCUUAGUGUAAAUAUACUAGGUGAUUUCUGCUCAAUGAAAAAUUAAAUAGCCGCGGUACCCUGACCGUGCAAAGGUAGCGUAAUCAUUUGUCUUUUAAUUAAAGUCUAGUAUGAAGGAAUAUACGAAGGGGUAGCUAUAUUUAACAAUAUUACAAGAAAUUACUUAUUAAGUGAAAAUACUUAAAUAUUAAACAAUAGACGAGAAGACCCUAGAAAUUUAUAAUAUAAAUUUUGUUGGGGCAACAUAGUAACAAGUUAACUUACUAAAAUUUCAAGACGCAUUACGGAUUGAAGAAAUUACUCUAGGGAUAACAGCAUAAUACUUAAGUGUUUGUGACCUCGAUGUUGGAUUAGGGAGUUGUAGCUAAGAAA